UAAUGUCUCGGUGGAUCACUCGGCUCGUGCGUCGAUGAAGAACACAGCUAUCUGCGAGAACUAAUGUGAAUUGCAGGACACAUUGAUCAUUGACACUUUGAACGCACCUUGCGGCCCCAGAUUCCCCCUGAGUACAGACCCGGACGGCUCAGUGGGA
This 157-nucleotide ribosomal RNA is filed under the name Hucho hucho (huchen). RNAcentral's name for it is "5.8S ribosomal RNA (ENSHHUG00000009818.1)". It matches the Rfam family "5.8S ribosomal RNA". From Rfam's summary of the family: 5.8S ribosomal RNA (5.8S rRNA) is a component of the large subunit of the eukaryotic ribosome. It is transcribed by RNA polymerase I as part of the 45S precursor that also contains 18S and 28S rRNA. Lineage: Eukaryota; Metazoa; Chordata; Actinopteri; Salmoniformes; Salmonidae. The record is from RNAcentral.